Molecule: unclassified non-coding RNA, 203 nt
Filed under: Hevea brasiliensis (rubber tree)
Lineage: Eukaryota; Viridiplantae; Streptophyta; Magnoliopsida; Malpighiales; Euphorbiaceae
Source: RNAcentral
UUGGAAUGAUGAAACAAGUGAAAUUCUCGUUUUCUUUUCCUAACAGAUUAUGGAUAUAAUCAAAUUAAAUUCAAAGUUUUAUUUUAAUUCCACGCCUUUAUUUGUUUUAAACUCCAAAUUUGAUCUGAAUUUGAUUUAGACGCUACUCGAUUCAUUAUUAAUUCGAUCAAAAUGGCCAACUUAAGAAGAUUAUUCACUUAAAA